AUGAGAUGGUGCGCACAACAACAGCAUAUUCUCUAUGUCAGUGCAAUUAAUGUGAAAUGGCUUUUGGUUGACAUUUGCAGUCUGAGCUGCCCCCAUUAUCUGGAGUCUUUUUACCUCAGAUGCUGUUGUUUUUAUUGGCUUGUCAUUGUCAUUUUCCAUUUUGGUCUAAAACUGUCCAUGGCUGAUCCAAACGGAUGUCAUUGUGGUGAUUAGUUACAGAGCUUCACAGUCCUGAUUACCGAGAAAGACAGUGAGGGCAUUUUGCCUGCCUUUUGCCUUCAGUGAAGGUUUGGGCUAGUUGCUGGGUGCUAAGGGACAUCCAAGGUGACGACCCGCAGAGAAAUCUGUAAUUUUGUACUUUUAAUAUAAACCUUUUGCUUUAAACUCCUGGGCUGCUGCAGGGCUCUCUUGAAGCUUAUAGCUCAAAACUCAAAGCUGAAAGUCCUUGCUCCCUCAGAGUUUUGAAAGGAUGAAAAAGAAAACAAAGCUGUGGAGGCAGAGGGGAUUAGCUCAGGAUCACCCAGCAGGUCAGUUGCUGUGCUGGGACUACCAUUGAAAUCUGCUGCCUUCUAUAUCACUUACCUGCUUGAUUGUGCUGCCAUGCCCAAGACAUGGGCAUGAUGGCAAUAUCCAGCUAUCCGGGUAACACGCGCUUUAAACCCCACAUUGAUGGAGAAGGACUGAUGGUCAGGCACCUCUGCAUUCCCUAAACUGAAGAGCAUUGGUUGUCCCUCUGUACUGCUUAUUUAUCUUUGAUCAUGAUUCUGAAAAUGUGCAGAUCUCAGGCUCCUGGAGAGGAGUGCUCCAAAGUGCUGUCAAGAUGACUGCUUUCCAUAAUUCCACAAACAAAGCCAGAGCCACACAGACUAUGCUUCAUCCUGCUCCACGGGCCAUAUAAGCCAUUUCCAUGUCAACAAGGACAGACGUACUUUUUGGUUUAUGUCUCUAGAAGAACUAGUGCUCUGGUUUGUUGAAAGUUUGGUUUUGCUUAGACAAAAACUGCCUCUGGAUUUAAUGGGAUAACACAUGGCUUUACGGGUAGUUCACUAUCCGUUACACAUUCAUCAUAGGCUUUUUCUUUCUUGGUACUAUUUGGUGGAACCCAGCAAGCUUCUGAACUGUCUGCACUGCAAGCAUGAAAAUCACAGUUUCAGGACAGAAAGUAUGCUAAUUCUUUUCAUCAUUAUAAUUAAGGUAGGACCUGUAAAAUACU
This 1213-nucleotide long non-coding RNA is filed under the name Anser cygnoides (Swan goose). Its description in RNAcentral is "lncRNA (ENSACDG00005001814.1)". The record is from RNAcentral. Lineage: Eukaryota; Metazoa; Chordata; Aves; Anseriformes; Anatidae.